GAGGGUAUAGCUCAGUUCGUAGAGCAUGUGCUCAGCAUGCACGAGGUCCUGGGUUCAAUCCCCAGAAUCUCCA
RNAcentral lists this transfer RNA (73 nucleotides) under Camelus bactrianus (Bactrian camel). It matches the Rfam family "tRNA". Rfam says of the family: Transfer RNA (tRNA) molecules are approximately 80 nucleotides in length. Their secondary structure includes four short double-helical elements and three loops (D, anti-codon, and T loops). The record is from Rfam by way of RNAcentral. RNAcentral also lists the same sequence under 2 other names. Lineage: Eukaryota; Metazoa; Chordata; Mammalia; Artiodactyla; Camelidae.